GAUGAACGCUGGCGGCGUGCCUAACACAUGCAAGUCGAACGGAGUCCCGCCUUAGAGACCUUCGGGUCAAAGAGGGGAAGACUGAGUGGCGGACGGGUGAGUAACACGUGGGCAACCUGGCUCAUAGAGGGGGAUAACAGAGAGAAAUUUCUGCUAAUACCGCAUAAGCACACACUGCCGCAUGGCAGAGUGUGAAAAGAGAAUCGCUAUGAGAUGGACCCGCGUCUGAUUAGCCAGUUGGCAGGGUAAGAGCCUACCAAAGCGACGAUCAGUAGCCGAUUUGAGAGGAUGAACGGCCACAUUGGGACUGAGACACGGCCCAAACUCCUACGGGAGGCAGCAGUGGGGGAUAUUGCACAAUGGGGGGAACCCUGAUGCAGCGACGCCGCGUGAGUGAAGAAGUAUUUCGGUAUGUAAAGCUCUAUCAGCAGGGAAGAUAAUGACAGUACCUGAAUAAGAAGCCCCGGCUAACUACGUG
RNAcentral lists this ribosomal RNA (478 nucleotides) under uncultured bacterium. RNAcentral describes it as "partial 16S ribosomal RNA". It matches the Rfam family "Bacterial small subunit ribosomal RNA", at positions 28 to 507 of the family's 1533-position model. The record is from RNAcentral.